UACGAAGGGGGCUAGCGUUGCUCGGAAUUACUGGGCGUAAAGGGCGCGUAGGCGGCCUGGUGAGUGAGGCGUGAAAUUCCCGGGCUUAACCUGGGGACUGCGCUUCAUACUGCUGGGCUUGAGGAUGGAAGAGGGUCGUGGAAUUCCCAGUGUAGAGGUGAAAUUCGUAGAUAUUGGGAAGAACACCGGUGGCGAAGGCGGCGACCUGGUCCAUUACUGACGCUGAGGCGCGACAGCGUGGGGAGCAAACAGG
This 253-nucleotide unclassified non-coding RNA is filed under the name uncultured Alphaproteobacteria bacterium. RNAcentral's name for it is "contains 16S-23S intergenic spacer region". It matches the Rfam family "Bacterial small subunit ribosomal RNA", at positions 524 to 776 of the family's 1533-position model. The record is from RNAcentral. Lineage: Bacteria; Pseudomonadati; Pseudomonadota; Alphaproteobacteria.